RNAcentral lists this ribosomal RNA (426 nucleotides) under uncultured beta proteobacterium. RNAcentral describes it as "bacterial SSU rRNA". It matches the Rfam family "Bacterial small subunit ribosomal RNA", at positions 356 to 774 of the family's 1533-position model. The record is from RNAcentral. Lineage: Bacteria; Pseudomonadati; Pseudomonadota; Betaproteobacteria.
GGGGAAUUUUGGACAAUGGGGGCAACCCUGAUCCAGCCAUGCCGCGUGAGUGAAGAAGGCCUUCGGGUUGUAAAGCUCUUUCGGACGGAAAGAAAACGGAUGGGUUAAUACCCUGUUCGGAUGACGGUACCGUCAUAAGAAGCACCGGCUAACUACGUGCCAGCAGCCGCGGUAAUACGUAGGGUGCAAGCGUUAAUCGGAAUUACUGGGCGUAAAGCGUGCGCAGGCGGUUUUGUAAGACAGUGGUGAAAUCCCCGGGCUCAACCUGGGAACUGCCAUUGUGACUGCAAGGCUGGAGUGCGGCAGAGGGGGAUGGAAUUCCGCGUGUAGCAGUGAAAUGCGUAGAUAUGCGGAGGAACACCGAUGGCGAAGGCAAUCCCCUGGGCCUGCACUGACGCUCAUGCACGAAAGCGUGGGGAGCAAACA